CGUGUGUGCACGCGCAUCCAUGUUUCCUAGUAACAAACGUGGGAUCACAGAAUUUACCCGGAAACAAUUAACACAUUUUAAUUUCUGAUCGGCUUACCGGCUCUGGCGUUUAGUACAGAGAAAGCUAUGAACUCGGCAGAAAAAUGAUCGUCUAUUAAUUGUAUAUAGCGGGACAACUUCGUGGGCGUUAUCUCUUCACAUACUUCUCAGCGUGAGAAAUACAAGGAUCAAACAGAGUAUUUGAGUGGCACUACAGCUAUCCAAGCCAUUAAGACAACUAUUGAAACAGAACAGAGGACAAAUGACAUCAAAUCAGAGGACGUCAAAUAACCAACAUCAAGUAACACUAUCUGUAUUGAUACAAUCUUUUAUAAUGCACAACGGAACAGACAACGGGUAAAAUAUACAGUAUAUCAGUGAAUGUGUUUAGACAAUUAUGUACAACAAAUUGUGUGUAAUAGCUGUGAAAUGUGUUACAUUUGGGUAUUUGUUACUAGUAUAAAAGGUGGACUCUCAUCUCUCUUCCUAAAUCCUAGAUGCUACCCUGUGUGUACAGUAAGUGCAAGUGUGCUUGUGUAUAUAUGGUGAUACACACGUGCCAACAAUGAAUAUGUGUUCACUGAACAAAUUACUGCAGUGGGGUGCUGUUACUAACAAGCUCUCUUUAAGUGCCAUUUCCUGGUAGAACAGAGAGUCCUUUUUUUUCUCCAUAGCACACAAUCGUUAUUCCAGGUCAUCCAGAGACAGAUGCCUGGAGCCAGAAGAAACUGAAUCCUGCACUCUCCUUGCAGCCAUUGAGCUGUGCCCAGAGGCAAGAUGGCUGAGCUAGAGUUUCAGAUCUCUCCCUGGGCUGCCCAGACGCCUGGUGUUUUGUUGGAGACAGACUGGCAGGCACAAAAUCACUUUUUGAUUCCCAGGGCAGGCUGCAACACACACUGAACAGGUUUGAACCUCAAAUCCAAGUCUCAGUAUGCUGUGAUUUAAAAGGCUAGACAGUUCCCGUUCAGCACAACAGGCAACUACAUCCCUACAUAGUAGCUGGCUAGGUACACAUUUACAGCUGUGCCAACUCUUCAGAAGAUUUCCUCUCAAUUAGUUUAAAGUGCCAUAAAGGGAUUUGCCCUGCAGGUAAGUUUUGCCUUUAGGUACAGAUCCUAGAUCAGAAUACACAACUUCAACAUCUGCAAUAUAAUGUGUCAUUAAUGGUUAAAUUGAAGUUUCUACCCCAACCACAAAUGCAUUCGUACCUAGACAACUGGAAGAACACGGCAUAGUUUAAAAAAAACAAUGAUAGACCAACAGGGGGGAAAUUGCCCUUGGAAUGAGAUGUUUUGCUGAUAUGGGGCUGUGAAAGCCUUCAGUUUCCUUGUUGGUUUCUGGGAUAAGCAAAUGUUAAAGGAUAUAAAUCCCUGAAACAGUGCCAUUCAUAUCACCAGGUAUAAUUUGGCUAGUAUCCUCCUAUGUGGAAAUAGUCUCAGUUUGCUCAAACCCCCUAGUUUGAGUUAGAUCCAGCGAACAACACCGUCCUCUCCUGUAGAUAAAAUUCACUGUGGUGACAAUAGGUUUCCAGUAAAUAUCCCAUGCUGGUUCAGUUCCUCUACUAUGUUACCAUGCAGUACUUUCAUAUUUCCAUGCCUCUUUAGUCUGUCAGUUUGUGUACAUAGUUGACAGGAAAUGUCCCACUCCUGCUUAGGUCCCCCUCUAUGUGACCAACCUGUUAGGAUAAAAAGUAAAUAUUUAUGAUGUGAAAACAUAAAAAGUCACUUUUACAUAUUUCACUUCACAUUGCUACCCAGAAGAGAAAUGGGCAAUCACUGUAAUGAAAUAAGGAAGUUGUAGUUGCACUUACCCACCAGUGGGGGUCAUUAGUGGCCGUGACCACAAUGAUCUCAUCUUUGAAAAAGGCAAGCUGCUCAGUACUGACUGCUCUGCAGUCCACUAAAGCCUUGACACGCUUCUGAUGUGGCCUGCUGCCAGAAACCUGGAGGAGAUAUGCAAUAUAUUUUUUCAGUGUGCUACCAGCAUAAUUAACUGUGAAAUGUCAUUGGCCUUCUCAACAGGAAAAAAGUACAGUGGUAAUGAAGAUUGUAAUAUGGAGGACUUAAAAUAUAGGCUGAAUAUAACAGAAAGAGGUUUCUAUAUAAUUGUACCAUAGCAUUCCUGCGGGGUCGUGGGGCACAGGUUAUGGUAGGUGAGGAUGACGGUGCUGGUGCGGGAGCUGGGGUGAGGCCCGGACUAUUCCCCACUAAGCUGCAGUACAGCUCCUCCUGGCUGCCCACACAGCUUGGAGACAACACACCGCACUUCCCCUGGAGCCCUCCUCCACUGCUCGUCCGACGAUAUGAUGUGGUCUUCUCUGAACUGGAGGGUGGAGAAAUAACAUGAAAUUAUCAAACAAGGCUCCUGUCAUUUGAAGUUGUUUGUGAAAAAUUCAAAACUGGAGCCAGCUUGAUAAUCAUUAUCUGUCCUUAGAAUAGUUUUAGGAAAUACUUAUUUUUUAUUUUUAGACAGGGCAUGAGCUUGAAUUGCAUCCUUUCAGUGACCCUGUUUACACCUGACACUACCAUGCUGACAGACGUGUGGUAACAGAAAUGUGUUGUUGCACAGUGUCUCACCUGACAGGCCCCAAGUGGUUCAGGGAAGAUGUUGGUGUGAGACUGCUUUGAGAUCCAGAACUAGCACCAGGUUGGCCCUCCCAGGUCUGCUUCUGCCCCCUGAGCGGACCUCCUUGUCCGUGGGGUGACCUAGGUGGUCUCCCCCCUUGGCCAUGGUUGUCCAUGUUGGGUGAAGGUGGGUUAUGUCUCGCCUGUGUCUGGGGACUGGAGGAGCUGGAGGCCGGGUUAGAGCAGCGACGUGGAAUUUGGUUGCCCUCCUGUGUUGUAACCGAAAUCUGGGGGUCAGAGCGACCUGUGGAGGGGAAAAAAUGAAAAUAAAAAAAAGCAACAAAUUAA
Micropterus dolomieu (smallmouth bass) is the source of this 2951-nucleotide long non-coding RNA. RefSeq lists it as uncharacterized. The transcript is spliced from 3 exons. NCBI's taxonomy places the organism in Eukaryota, Metazoa, Chordata, Actinopteri, Centrarchiformes, Centrarchidae. The record is from RefSeq and is a predicted model, not a curated record.